UCAUUUAAUCAAAUAUCUUCAUUUAACCGUUUAUCUUAACCGUUUUCAGCAUUAUUCAAUAAAUAAUGUAAUUCGUUAAUUACGAUUUUAUUACAAUAUUAUACAUAACCUAUUUUGUCUGCAAAUUUAUGAGUAAUGUGUCACUUGUAGAACGCGAAAUUGAGUUAUGAGUGGACGUAUGUAUGGUUAGUUGGUGAACCUUGGUUCGUCAAUCAGUGUGUGGGUUGAUUCAAGGUUCACAAGUGUUGUAAAAGACGAUUCUGAAAUCUGGUGACACAAUGGUAAGAGUCUAAAAGAUGCAUUGAGAUUGGUGUUCAUGACACACAAAAAAACAAAAAAUAUGUCAAGUAGACAAAAAAAAUUAAAAUGAAAAGUCAAGAUUGAUGGACAAAAAAAUAAACGGCUAAGAUGGAAUAGUCUUUUAUAAUGACAACCUUUCCUGAAAAUUGUUUUAUAUUUUUAAGUAUAAUAUUAUUUUCAGAGAUUUUUGUUUCUCUUUUAUUUUGUAUUUUGCAAAUCUUUCCUAGAUAUGGUAACAAAAUUGUUGAAUUUAUUUUUUGAAAUUGUAUCAAUCAUUUUAAUAUCACUAGUCAUACGAUGGCAUGUGCCGACAAUCCAAGUAUCUUUAAAAAUCAUGGAAUGAAAAUUAAAAUUUAUACCUGACAUUUUGUUCAACAAUUCUUUUAGUGUUGUCAAAUCUUCAUUUGAUAACUAGUGAAAGAAUUUGAUAGGUAGUAGAUGCUUCAUUUGAUUUCUGGCCGAAGGUUCUUGGGGUGAAGCCGGAACCAGAGUCGAAGCCUGAUCUUUGUGAAAGAAGGGAUGCGGAAGCGUCGUCCUUACCAACAAUGUUAUUUCCCAAAUCUUCACUGCAGGUUGCCAUUUGGUGACAAUUCGACGGCGGCAAUUUCACAAUUUGGGGAUGAAAUCUCUAAAUAUUUAUAAGUAUGAAGAGAGAAAGUGAA
Molecule: long non-coding RNA, 962 nt
Filed under: Zostera marina
Lineage: Eukaryota; Viridiplantae; Streptophyta; Magnoliopsida; Alismatales; Zosteraceae
Description: long non-coding RNA (ZMAR_LNC005119)
Source: RNAcentral